RNAcentral lists this long non-coding RNA (449 nucleotides) under Malus domestica (apple). RNAcentral's name for it is "long non-coding RNA (MDOM_LNC004011)". Lineage: Eukaryota; Viridiplantae; Streptophyta; Magnoliopsida; Rosales; Rosaceae. The record is from RNAcentral.
UAUUAUUACCCACAAGGGUAAAGGAACAGUACCACUGUUGGAUAAUUGGAAAGUCCCUGUGUGUCAACCUUUGUGCCUCGUGGCAAAGUAGACUAGCAAACAUGCCCAACCUUUACUCACAUUCGAGAAAACACUCCCAAUAAGAUUGCUUGCUCCAAAAUAGAAGAGGCACCGUCCUCCGAAUCUCGAGAGCCAGACUCCCAACAUGACUACUUUCUCAAAAAUCGAAGAGAGGGUAAAGGAACAGUACCAUUGCUGGAUAAUUGGAAAGUCCCUGUGUGUCAACCUCUGUGCUUCGUGGCAAGGUAGACUAGCAAACAUGCCAAACCUUUACUCACAUUCGAGAAAACACUCCCAACAAGAUUGCUUGCUCCAAAACCGAAGAGGCACCGCCCUCCGAAUCUCGAGAGCCAGACUCCCAACAUGAUUACUUUCUCAAAAAUCGAAGA